Molecule: ribosomal RNA, 348 nt
Filed under: uncultured bacterium
Lineage: Bacteria
Description: partial 16S ribosomal RNA
Rfam family: Bacterial small subunit ribosomal RNA
Source: RNAcentral
CCUACGGGGGGCUGCAGUGGGGAAUAUUGGGCAAUGGGCGAAAGCCUGACCCAGCAACGCCGCGUGAAGGAAGAAGGCUUUCGGGUUGUAAACUUCGUGUGACAGGGAAGAGCAGAAGACGGUACCUGUCGAAUAAGCCACGGCUAACUACGUGCCAGCAGCCGCGGUAAUACGUAGGUGGCAAGCGGUGUCCGGAUUUCCUGGGGGGAAAGGGCGUGUAGCCGGGCUGACAAGUCAGAUGUGAAAUCCGGGGGCUCAACCCCCGAACGGCAUUUGAAACUGUUGGUCUUGAGUAUCGGAGAGGCUGGCUGACUUCCUCGUGUAGCGGUGAACUGCGUAGAUAUUAGG